UGCAGGAUGAAGGUCCUAUGGAUUGUAAACUGCUUUUGUACGGGAAGAAACCCCUCCUCGUGAGGAGGGCUGACGGUACCGUAAGAAUAAGGAUCGGCUAACUCCGUGCCAGCAGCCGCGGUAAUACGGAGGAUCCGAGCGUUAUCCGGAAUCAUUGGGUUUAAAGGGUCCGUAGGCGGCCUUGUAAGUCAGUGGUGAAAUCUCACGGCUCAACCGUGAAAUGGCCAUUGAUACUGCGGGGCUUGAAUUAUCGGGAAGCAGCUAGAAUAUGUAGUGUAGCGGUGAAAUGCUUAGAUAUUACAUGGAAUACCGAUUGCGAAGGCAGGCUGCUACCGGUGGAUUGACGUUGAUGGACGAGAGCGUGGGGAGCGAACAGGAUUAGAUACCCUGGUAGUCCACGCCGUAAACGA
RNAcentral lists this ribosomal RNA (410 nucleotides) under uncultured bacterium. Its description in RNAcentral is "bacterial SSU rRNA". It matches the Rfam family "Bacterial small subunit ribosomal RNA", at positions 402 to 809 of the family's 1533-position model. The record is from RNAcentral.